GCUACACAACACAUUCAAGGCCACCCUGGCCUAUAUGAGACCUGCCUCACAAAGAAAAAAAAUGAAUACCACUAAACUAUUAAUACAUGCAAAACAGGCAUGUAUGAAUAUCAAGUAGGCUGCAAGUGGACAUACUACAUGAUUCCAUUCAUAUAAAGAACUUUUUCUGGCUGAGCGUGGUGUGUGCCUUGAAUCCCAAUAUAAACCUAGAAGAAUUGAUAGAAUAGGACCAAUAGGUUGAGACCAUGACACCUUACGACAUAUGUACAAAACUUAGAAGGCCUGUUUUUUCUCCAAAUGCUGUUUUUGUGCAAUACAUUGCACCCAAAGAUCUGUGCAUAGCCAUUAAGAAACUCAAAUAAACCCCUGCUCAUCCCCAAAAGAAACCUGAAAAUUUAACAAAAAUUCACAAUUAAUUUAGUUAGGAGCUAAGCUAUUAAGGUUGGGUUUUUUUUUUUUUUUUGUUUCUUUGUUUUAUCAUUUUGUUCUUAAAAAAUGCCCUAAGACUCUUUGUACGGAAGAGGAUUUGAUUCCAAAAUUACAUUAUUAAUCCUUUCCCUACAGAUAUUUAUGUGCACAGAUAAGCUGAGCAGUGGUGGCACACACCUUUAAUCCCAGCAUCUGGGAAGCAGACUCAGGAGGACCUCUAUGAGUUCGAGGCCAGCUUGAUCUAUAGAUGCUUUCUCAUAGAUCCACUUGUACAGAUGCACAAGAACUUUAGCAAUAGGAUACGUACCUAAUACCUUAUCAAAAAUUUCCUUGAUUUCACCGAACAUUGAUGGGAAUGUCCAAGAGCACCGCACCAUCUGCUGGACCAACCACAUGAGAUCACUACAAGGCUACUCAGCUGGAGGUGGGACUCAGAUGAGGAGUAUCCACAUCGUUUGGCCCAGAAUCAAGCUGGAGGAAAAGAACUUCUCCAAGUUCAAGCCCACCUGAUCUCCCAGCUCCACCCUCAAACUGAAAAGGAAAAGCAAAAGUAGACCUAGAGAGAUGGCUCCAUGGUUAAGACCACCUGCUGCUCCUACAGAGGACUUGAGCUUGGUUCCCAGCACCCACACCGUGGCUCAAAACCAUCCAUAACUCCAGUUUCAGAAGAUCGAAUUCUCUCCUCUGGCCUCCGUGAACGCCUGUCAGACACUUGAGGCAACAACAUACGUGCAGGCCAACAGGAGUGGUAACUGCCCUCCCUGUCAGCUUCCUGAUGUGGCUGAACACACGGAUAAAUGAUAGAAGUCAUUCCUGGCAGCUCAGAAUGCUGCUUCUGCUGUGCUUCGUCCAGAGCGAUGUGCUAUUGGACAGUGCUACUGGCAAAACCACCAAUAACAGAUAACCACAUAUCCCAUUACCUUUGUUUUUCACAGUUAACAGGGCUAAGAGGGUGGGAGGAGGGCUUGUCCAAGGCACAGUGUCUAUCUGCUUAAAAGGCUUGUUGCCAAAGACUGACACAGCUACCUAGAAGCUGAAAAAAAUAUUUUCUUUUUACCUCAGUUUACUUCUCUGUGAGAUGGAUGCACAUUAAGAAGAUUAAUAGAGAUAUUGAAUUUAAGCACUUGGAACAGUA
This is a long non-coding RNA of Peromyscus eremicus (cactus mouse), 1564 nucleotides long. RefSeq lists it as uncharacterized. The record is from RefSeq and is a predicted model, not a curated record. The transcript has 3 exons. NCBI's taxonomy places the organism in Eukaryota, Metazoa, Chordata, Mammalia, Rodentia, Cricetidae.